Molecule: long non-coding RNA, 221 nt
Filed under: Capsicum annuum
Lineage: Eukaryota; Viridiplantae; Streptophyta; Magnoliopsida; Solanales; Solanaceae
Description: long non-coding RNA (CANN_LNC019501)
Source: RNAcentral
ACCUUUUGUUCUGGAAUAAGAUUAGAAAGUUAUACGAUCGAAUCUGAAAUUUAAUUUUAGUUUCAUCAUUUUUUUCUUCUUCAGAUGAAUCCGAUAUAUAGGGAAACAAAAUUGGUAUUAACAAAAAGGGGUCGUCUGUGUUGUUGUUACAGGCACUUAUGCCUAUGCACAGUUGGUAAAUGUGUGUGAUGUACUAUUCAAAUGCUGUGCAAGUUUGUGAA